UUUCUGUCCAUAAAUCCUCUCAGCCACGUGGCUGUGCUGGAGUCUGAAUCUACUCUGUCUUGGGAGACUGCCCAAUUUAGAGAAUGUUAACUGUCACUGACAUCUGAAAAUACUUUGAGGAGGAGUUGAUAUUUAAGCGAAUCAUGGAAAAAAAAUUUCUAAUGUUUGGCUGCUGUGUGAGGAGUAAGUUCUUCCCAGAGAAAGGAAGCCACUUGAGAAAAGACUGUGUGAAAUACAAGACAUUUUGAGAAGAAAGAAUGACAUGUUGGAGCCUAGUGCAUCAUGGGAGUAGAAUGCUGAGAUGGAGGCAAGAAAAUGGACCACAAAGUGAAGAGAUUGGGGACUAAGAUGCCAUGGCUCUUCCUCCUGGAAUGGAUCAUCCACAUGAAUAUGGAGAUAAUACUAAUGUCAUUCAUCAUAAUCUCUUGCAUGAUUUUGAAUAUAUUUGUUAGAAACAAUUUAAUGUAUAUUACCCACUGAAUCAAAAUUUGCAUCUGACUUUUCUAUUAGUCAUACAUUCAAAAACCAAAUUCUGGUGCUUAGGUUUGUGCCUCUGAAAUAUAGUAAAGAUACGCCAAAGCUAAUGUGGUUCCAGUUUUUAUUUAGUGGGUUAAGAAGAGCAAAUUCCAUUUCCAACUAUGUUGCUAUCUAGCAGCAUAACCUUAGCCAAAUCAAAUGAUCUUCCAAGGUUUCAGGUUUUUUGUAGGUAAACACAGUUUAAAAUUAAAGUUUACUUAAAAUCAUUUUUAAACUGAAAGUCUUUCGAUUUAAUUAUUUAAUUUAUUGCUUGUUAAAGUACCAUUCGUUGGCUUUGCUCUCUAAGUUCAUAUAAUUACUUUUACUUAAGAUGUCCUCCACCACUAAACUUUUAUAUGGCUAUAUAUUUGUGUGGUAUCUGUCACCAUGGUACCUAGAUAUCCAACCAACAUAACUGUGUAAAAAUAGAAGGUAUGUGGGAAGAAAAAAAUGUCAAUCCCCAUUUUUCUAUUCAAACAGGUAUUAGUGAGGCAUAAAGAUUGUAUCUAAAGUUUGUUUUUUUGAGCUUACUGCCCAUGUGAUUACAGAGUUAUUUAUGAGAAAAAGGACAAAAUUCACUAUUUAUCCAAAUGUAUGAACAUUCAAUGUAAUAUUUACAUUUGUUAAAUAAAGAAAUAAACCUCCCCCUUGGUAAUCAUUACAAAUAUAUAUCCCAAAUGACAAAUAACUAUAUAAAAAUGUAAAAACUACUACAAAUGCACACAGGCAAUAAUGCAGACGAUUAUAGUAGUAGAAAAGUGACAGCUAAAAUAGACUGCUCAUAAAGUUUACCCUUUCUGUUGUUAUUUUUUCAAUGCCACUAUUUUUAAUCGCUCUGAAGAAGCUAACAAUUUUUUUUAAUGUAUGGAAGGAAUAUAAUUAAGACGGAAAUAAUUGGUAAGGAAUAAGUUUAGAGAUAAUGAGCUGCUACUAAAUACCAAAGUAGUUGGCAGUCUAAUACAAAUCUGGAAAGAUUAGAAUCAUAGAUACACAAUUUGGAGUCACAGGUAUAAAAAUAAUAUUUUUAAAGCUGUGGGACUAGAUAUCACUUGCAA
RNAcentral lists this long non-coding RNA (1571 nucleotides) under Homo sapiens (human). RNAcentral's name for it is "HSALNT0081189". Lineage: Eukaryota; Metazoa; Chordata; Mammalia; Primates; Hominidae. The record is from RNAcentral.